GACGAACGCUGGCGGCGUGCUUAACACAUGCAAGUCGAACGGUAAGGCCCUUCGGGGUACACGAGUGGCGAACGGGUGAGUAACACGUGGGUGAUCUGCCCUGCACUUCGGGAUAAGCCUGGGAAACUGGGUCUAAUACCGGAUAGGACCACUGCCUGCAUGGGUGGUGGUGGAAAGCUUUUGCGGUGUGGGAUGGGCCCGCGGCCUAUCAGCUUGUUGGUGGGGCGAUGGCCUACCAAGGCGACGACGGGUAGCCGGCCUGAGAGGGUGACCGGCCACACUGGGACUGAAAUACGGCCCAGACUCCUACGGGAGGCAGCAGUGGGGAAUAUUGCACAAUGGGCGCAAGCCUGAUGCAGCGACGCCGCGUGAGGGAUGACGGCCUUCGGGUUGUAAACCUCUUUCAGCACCGACGAAGCGCAAGUGACGGUAGGUGCAGAAGAAGGACCGGCCAACUACGUGCCAGCAGCCGCCGUAA
RNAcentral lists this ribosomal RNA (478 nucleotides) under uncultured bacterium. Its description in RNAcentral is "partial 16S ribosomal RNA". It matches the Rfam family "Bacterial small subunit ribosomal RNA", at positions 28 to 523 of the family's 1533-position model. The record is from RNAcentral.